This 423-nucleotide ribosomal RNA is filed under the name uncultured Acetanaerobacterium sp. RNAcentral describes it as "bacterial SSU rRNA". It matches the Rfam family "Bacterial small subunit ribosomal RNA", at positions 355 to 794 of the family's 1533-position model. The record is from RNAcentral. Lineage: Bacteria; Bacillati; Bacillota; Clostridia; Eubacteriales; Oscillospiraceae.
UGGGGGAUAUUGGUCAAUGGAGGAAACUCUGAACCAGCGACGCCGCGUGAGGGAAGAAGGUCUUCGGAUUGUAAACCUUUGUUGACAGGGACGAUACAAGACGGUACCUGUCGAGGAAGCCACGGCUAACUACGUGCCAGCAGCCGCGGUAAUACGUAGGUUGCAAGCGUUGUCCGGAUUUACUGGGUGUAAAGGGCGUGUAGGCGGAGGUGCAAGUUGGGAGUGAAAUCCCGGGGCUCAACCCCGGAACUGCUUUCAAAACUGCAUCCCUUGAGUAUCGGAGAGGCAAGCGGAAUUCCUAGUGUAGCGGUGAAAUGCGUAGAUAUUAGGAGGAACACCAGUGGCGAAGGCGGCUUGCUGGACGACAACUGACGCUGAGGCGCGAAAGCGUGGGGAGCAAACAGGAUUAGAUACCCUGGUAGU